Long non-coding RNA from Manis pentadactyla (Chinese pangolin), 2563 nucleotides. RefSeq lists it as uncharacterized. NCBI's taxonomy places the organism in Eukaryota, Metazoa, Chordata, Mammalia, Pholidota, Manidae. The record is from RefSeq and is a predicted model, not a curated record. The transcript is spliced from 3 exons.
GGCUGCCCUUCCCUGCCGCCUCCUUCUUUUCUCUCCCUCCCGGCUCUGUCCGCCCAGGGCUCCGCACCACAUAGCCAGAGAUACCGGUCACCAGAUUUAGGGUACACCCUAAUCCAGGAUGAUCUAAUCUGGACAUCCAUAACCAACUAUAUCAGCAAAGACCCUGUUUCCAAAUAAGGUCACAUUCUGAGCGUCUAGGCGGACAUGAAUUCGGAAUCCCCUUUUUACGGAUGAGGAAAGUGGGGACCAGUGAAGUGAAAUGCUUGGUUCAGAGUCCCUAAGAAUGGGAGACUGGAAUCUCGGGCAGCCACCUUUGCCGCCAUGCAGGGAGCUCCCAAAGGAGAAUGAAGCCCACUCGGAGGGAAGCAGAGACAUAGGCCGAGGUCCGUUCUUACCAAUGUUGUCCGAGUACCUGGAUCCAGCUCUUCCUGAAAGCCUGAAGGCACAGCUGUCCCUGAAUUUCUCAUUUUUAAAAACAACUUACUGUGCUCAAGCUAGCUGGAACUGGGUUUCUGUAAAUAAACAACAAAAAGAAACCAAAGGUGACUCCAUUCCCCUCACCUGCCUUCACAUGUUCCCAUCACUAUGGAAUAAAAUACAACUCCUCAGCAAGGACCACACAGCCUUCCUGAUCCAGUGCCUCCCCCCCUCCCUCUUCAUCCUUCGACACCCCCACCCCUGCUUCUUAUUUAAUACACCGGCCACAUAAUUCACAUACACACACAGUGUGUUUUCCAGCCUUUGGGUAUCUACUCUGGCUGUCUCCUAUGCCCAGAAUGCUCUCAUCACCCCCACCCUGACCCCCAAAUGCUUACUCAUCCAUUAUCACUCAAUUCAGGCAUUACCUCCUCCAAAAAGCCUUCCCUGACUCAGUGCCCCACCUCUCCUCUGACUGGAAGACUGUCCCCUGGGCUCCCCACAGCCCUGUGUGUGGUUUGGUCACAACACUUGCCUACACAUUGUUUUUAAUUAUCUGUCCAUGUCUCCUCUCCGCCCCUCACACACCCAAGUGGGGAUCCCUUAGGGCCAAGUCUGUGCCUGGCUCACUGCCGACCAGCACAAUGUUUGGGCCAUUGUAAGGUCUCAAUACUUGUCUGUUGAAUGAAUGAAUGAAAACAUGCUUUGGAACACUGUUUUGUAAGGGAGCUUAUUUUCCAAGUUUUCCCAAAGAUAUAAAGUUUAGAUUUAUGCCAGCAGCCGUCAAGCAGGCCAUGUCAGCUCCAUUCUGUCCUCUUUUUAAGGAUGCAGUUUCUAGGAUUUCAGCAAUUGGUUUUUGCCUUGGCUGAGAUUGGACUGUGGGGCCCUCCCCUCCCUGGAGUCCAACCCCGCUCCCUUCCUGAGUGGAGUGACAGGGAAAGAUGGGGCCCGCUUGCCAGCAGUGGCUCACAUGGAGGCCUCUGACACCCACUGUUGAUGACAGAGAGUAGAGAGACCUCUCCCCCAGCCCAGAAUGAUGGUGAGCAAACCUUCAGACACUGUCCAUAUCCUGUUCUAAAGCUUCUGGUAGUGGUCACAUACAUGCUUUUAAAUAUGAACACCCAGAAGCUGUCAGAAGGGGUCAUCCAUCACCUCCCUUCCUCACUGGGGGAUUCUGAUCUGCAGACCAGCCAAAACAUUGAAGUCAGGCCUCUGCCCACCUCUCACCAGCUGGCUCCGUGCACUUUGAUUCACUGUCUGGGUCCCCAUGAGCAGAAAGGUGCUCAGGAGGUACUUUGGCAGGGGCGGGGCAAGGAGCUUCCUAGGCAUAUUCUUCUUUGCUCCCGGAGGUCCCUCUGGAUGCCAGCGAAGCUAUGAACAGAUGGAUGGGGCUGAACUGGGAGACUCAGACUGCUGGGGCACCAGCUACCCAAAGAGUGCCUGAGCCAAAGGAUGAAGACUUCUAGAUGCCUUGACACAGAUGAUGGGUCAAAAUUAGUUAUGGUUCCCAGGGUGGGAAAUGACCAUCCUCCCCUUGCCAGUCCCUCCAUUUAUUUGUCAGGGAGCAAAAGCUGUCUGUCUGCAUCCCCCGUGCCUCAUGGAGCUGCUGGGCUUCUAGGCCAGUUAUCAGGUUUAACAUUCCUGGAGGGCCUACACACCCAGUCCUGGAAUUAGAACAACCUAGUCCAUCCUAUGACUCAAUCAAGAUGGGCUCCGCUGUUCCAGGCUGUGCUGGGGGGACCCACAAUUGGCUGAGUAUCAGCUAGUCCUGGCUUCUCUCCUGGGGUCAGCAGGACAGGGCCAGGCUAGUUGGAAGCCUUGUCAUCUGAGACUGCUUGCCUUUCACCUGCCUCUGUUUCUAAGCAUCUACACUUCCCACCCUGCCAUGCUCUCCUGAGGGUGUCACUCAGUAACCCUACAAGUUCCCAACCAGACCCACCCACCCUGGCGGAAGAGCACCAGACCCAGCUUUGAAAGUUUUGGAAAUGACCUUCACAAGUUGCUUCUCAGGCACUGAUGGACAAUGACUGCAAUGAGGUAUGGGUGGGGGGGACUCGAUUAUAUGGGGGAAUGUAGUAACCACAUUGUUUUUCAUGUGAAACCUUCAUAAGAGUCUGUAUCAAUAAUACCUUAAUAAAAAAUUGUA